CGGAGAGGGCCCGCCGCCUCUGUUAGACUUGCGGGGACCUCCGGGCAACCCAGUCGACGCCGUGCGAUUCUGGCCUACCUAGCUUGGUUGGGACACCAGCCCCUGAGUGGAAGUGAACUUGGAGCCGGGCCGCAGUCGGAGCCACGUGCGAGCCACGCCCACUUCCCAGCCAGGACACCUUGGUGCAAGAAAGGUCUGCGACUUGACCCUUUACGCAGCCAGCACCCUCCGGACUCAGUUCCGCUGGUUCGAGCUCAUCUUUCCUCAGGCAGGGCCCAGAGCACACGUUCUGGCCCGGAUGCCUGCGGGGUUUAGCAAUCUGACCCCUCCGGCCUUCAGGGUUCGGCAAUUUUAGGCUCACAACAAAACAGGAGAUACAGAACUCCCCAGAGACAUGCACAGCCUUUCCUACUGUCAACAUCCAGUGACAGAGUGAUGUGUCUGCAACAGUUGAUGAAUCUAUACCGAAGCAUUGUCACCCGAAGUCCACACUCAUCCUGACGGCUGCACUUUCCAUGGUCUCAGCAGACAGACUUGCACCAGCUCUGUGUAGCACACAGAGUAUCUGGCCUGUCCUAAACAGUCUCCAUGCUUGGUCUAUCCAUUCCUCCAUCCCUCAGAAAUUUUUACUUUAUUAAUUAAAACAUUUGGGCUGUUGUUUGUUAUGAGAACAAGUCUUUCUAUGUAGCCCGAGAAGGAGUGGAACUCACUAUGUAGACCAGGCUGGGCCUCAAGCCUGUGGCAAUCCACUCACCUCUGCCUCCUAAGUCAUUUUGUUUUAUUUAAAACAAAACACAACGAAGGCUGUUUGGGGGGAUGAAGAUGUGGCUAAAUUGGCAAAGUGCUUGCAGUGGGCUCAAGGCCUUGGAUCCUAACCUCAGUGUGCCAUAAAUGGAACACAGUAGUUAAAUCCUGCAAUCCCAGCACUCGGGAGGUAGAAACAGAAGGACCAGAAGUUCAAGUCAUCCUCCACUACAUUCUAAGUUGGAGGCAAAGCCAAAAGGCCUAAGACCCUAUCUCAAAUGAAACAAUAAAAAUUUGCUUUUGAGAUGUAGUUGUACUUUGCA
Non-coding RNA from Myodes glareolus (Bank vole), 1067 nucleotides. NCBI's taxonomy places the organism in Eukaryota, Metazoa, Chordata, Mammalia, Rodentia, Cricetidae. The record is from RefSeq and is a predicted model, not a curated record.